GAGAGCUACCGGAAGUCUUGGCCGCCGGCUGCCAGCGUCGGGCCUUAGGUGAGAACUGUGCUACGUAAUGACCGGACGCGGCUCGGAGCCUUCAGGUAGCAGCCACCUGCCUACACUGCGAGUAAUGAAGACUCAACAGAACCCAAAGCAAGAUGAAGUUCCUUCUGUAUAUCAUCUUUGCUGUUAGCUGGAAUUUUAUUGUAACAAGUUAAUGAAAUGUGUGUGGUGGUUUAUGAGCCAGUGGUAACAGAAGAAUAGCAGGCAUGAAAGCACUGACAGAGUUGCUUCAACAAUAAACUACAUAAAUUUUGGAUACCGCAUAUGUUGGGGUAGGUUGUUCAAAAAUAUAGUACCAAUAAAUUCAAUUGUUUUUAAAAUAUACAUGUAGUCAUGUUUAGCUACACUGAUUCUAAAGGAAUGUGACAAUAGCCGUACCAUCAUAAAAACAAAGCUGGAAACAGCAUGAUGUUUUCAAAAUUUGGCAAAAUAACCAGAAUCAGAAACUUAAUGAAUUUCAGCCCUCAAAGCAUGUUAGAAAAUUCUGCAAGAACAUGUAAGUUGUCAUUCUAAGGCAAACUUUUAAACUGGGUCAUGUUUGAAGAUAAAUGUUCAUACCACAAGGUGUUUGUUUAAUGAAUGUUAUGUUGCAUUUGAUUAUUACAGAGAUAGUUCUGCUUAAUGAGGAUUCUUUCCUGUGGAGUGUGACUGUUAUUUUACUGUCAUAAACACAAUAUUACAGCAUCACAAUAGAAGGAAAUAAGAAACACGUUAAGCUCUUGCUUAAACACUUCAAUUUUGCCAGUAGAUAAAACUCUUCUCACAAAUUACAAGCUGAUUCUGUAUCUUUACACAACUUCGGGGGAGGGGGGAGGCUAGAUAAUGGAAGUUGGCCCAGUGAGAUCGAAAUAUGAAAGAAGAUCAAAACUUCUUUCAUGAGGACAUUCUUAAAAGACCAGGUCCAUAAUGAGGCUUUUUUCAGAAGUCAGUGAAUUACUUACUUCUGUAAUUUAUCUUCUAAAGUUUUUAGAAUAUAGAAGUCCUUUCAGGAAAUCUUUCUAGCUCAAGUUAGAAGCUAUUUGCUAAGAUAUAAAAAAAAAACCUCAUACUGUGUUUCUGCAGGAAAAGAUUUGUGAAAGGACUUUAUUUUGAAAAGCUGUUGCUGUUACUGAAAAGUUUAAGAUAUCUAAAACUCCAUGUGAAAUUUUGAACUUUGCUCAUAUUGACUUUAGAUCUAGAUUUCAUUAGAGAAGUAUUAGAGAACAGCCAAAAUGAAUUGGGUUAAGCACUUUUUAAAAGAUGUGCUACAUCCCUGAAAUGUUCGUGUGUAACAUUGUGAAAGAGAUUGUUCAGUUUGGUGACAAAAAUUAAGCAUGACAGUGUUAGAAGUGCUACUAAGAGGAACUCAAUAAUGUGAUAUGCACUGAAGAGACGUAUUGGAAGGCCUUCUUUUUCUGUCCCAGAUAUUUGCCACACUGUUCAAAACAUUUCCCAUAAGUAGUAUUCAAGAAGCUCUCACAGUUCUUAGUGGAAAUCAGCCUAGCAGGGUACUCAGAAGUGUCUGUACACUAAUACAUGCACCAUAAGGUAUCAAGAAGACAAAUUAAAGCCUUUUGUGUAUAGCUGUAUGGCUCACGAUCUGGUUGGGCAAAUGUGGCAGGAUGGCUCAUGACUGAACUGCUGGUGAAGACAGAUUUGGGCAGUUUAGGACAUACCGGCCAGGACAAUGAGGAGUGGGACUGGCAGUUAAUAUUUGAGAGAGCUCUGCCUGGGGAUGGAUCCCAGACCAGCUGAGACUUUAUAGGUUAGGAUUAGAGAGCAAACUAAAGAAGGCAACAUUGCAGUGGGUGUCUGCUACAGUCCUCCAGAUCAGAAACAGGCAAGUGAGGCCCUUUUUGGACACCUUGAGAAAGUCUUCUGCUAGCAGACAGUUGUCCUUUUGGGGUCUCCGUCCUCCACAGAAAUAUUUAGAAGACUGAUGCUGUUGAGUGUAAGCAAUCCAGGAGGUUUCUAGGACAGGUUGAUGACAACUUCUUGACACAGGUGAUCAAAGAAGCAACAGAUGGAGAUGCCCUGUUGAGUCUGAUAGUUGCAAAGGUCUAGUCAGAAAUGUGAAGCUUGCAGGUAGGAUUGCCUCUGGUAGUUAUGAGACGGUGGUGUCUGAGAUCAUGAAGGAAGGGAAAAAGGCAAACAGUGGGAUUAUAACCCUGUACUUCAGGAGAUCAGACCAUGUUUGACCAACCUAUUAGCCUUCUGAAACAAUUGGCUUGGUGGGCUUGGGGAAGGCAGCAUCAUGUGUUGUUUAUUUUGAUGUCAGCGAGGCUUUCAGCACUUUCUCCCAUAAUAUCUUUUAUAGACAAUCUGAUGAAGUAUGAACUAGAUAAACGAACAGUGAGAUGGACUGAAAACUGGCUGAACUUCAUGGUUCAAGGGAUUGUUAUCAGCAAUGCAACAUUCAGCUGCAGUCCCAUUACUAGUGGGAUAUGUUGGGGUCAGUACUGGCAUCAGUAUUGACCAAAAUGUUUUCCUUAAUGAUUCAGAUGAUGGGGUAGGGUGCAUUCUCAGCAGAUUCAUAGAUUAUAAACAAUUGAGAGGAGUGGUUGACGGACUAGACUUUGCAUGCCCAACCUGUGGCCUGUGGGCUGCAUGCAGCGUGGCCAAGCCCAUUCUACCCUGCACCAUCAUGGCGGCAGCUCUGCCUGUCCAAGUGACCCAGCUCAGCCUGGCUCCAGGAGCACCAACUCACUCACCAUCACUCACCAACAGCCAGACAUCGGCGUGUGGUUGGCACUAUCUGGGCUGAAACCAGGGCACUGAGAGGCUGUAGUGCAAUGCCAACUCAAGCUACAGCAAACAAUUGUAUGCAUUUUGAUGCAUUGACUAAACACAGCCCUGUAAACUGCAAAAUAUAUAUAUUUGGUUUAUGUAUAUAUAUUUGGUCUAUAUAUAUAUAUGCAAAUGUGCUUUCCAAUUUGAUAAAGGAAUUUGAGAAUAGUGGAGAAUAAAGAUUGUCAAAAACUUCA
Molecule: long non-coding RNA, 3020 nt
Organism: Gallus gallus (chicken)
Lineage: Eukaryota; Metazoa; Chordata; Aves; Galliformes; Phasianidae
Exons: 2
Source: RefSeq, a predicted model, not a curated record